CGUUUUUGCAGGAAAACUCGGGGGCGUUACACGGAAUCUAGUAGUCCUGAUCUUUGCAAGCCGCAAGCAAACUCUACGCUAAUAAGAGAAUAAUAGCGUUUCGUUAUGGAAUAGGGUACGACUGGCAGAAAAAAACAUGUAUGCGAUGCGUUGAGAAGAGCAUUUUUGUCGACAAUCUCGGGGGCAGCACGUUGGAAUAGGCGCAAAAGAUCAACUGUACUUCUUUGGCUGCUCGCUUAAAUGUCAACGAGUUGUCUGGGAUUAUAUUUGCAACCAAUGAACGCCUAAUAAUAAAUUUGCACCGUGAGAGUAGGGACUUGAACGUCGUUAGAUCCGGUCUCAUAUCCUAGUGUGCAGUCCUUGUAAUUGCACAACAACCGCUGUACUGUAACUCGUUGGAUUUUUCGUCUGAUCAUUCCGACAAUACAUAGGAUCC
Molecule: long non-coding RNA, 436 nt
Organism: Varroa destructor (honeybee mite)
Lineage: Eukaryota; Metazoa; Arthropoda; Arachnida; Mesostigmata; Varroidae
Source: RefSeq, a predicted model, not a curated record